This 1384-nucleotide ribosomal RNA is filed under the name uncultured bacterium. RNAcentral describes it as "bacterial SSU rRNA". It matches the Rfam family "Bacterial small subunit ribosomal RNA". The record is from RNAcentral.
GAAUUCGCCCUUAGAGUUUGAUCCUGGCUCAGGACGAACGCUGGCGGCGCGCCUAACACAUGCAAGUCGAACGAGAGAGAGGAAGCUUGCUUCCUCAAUCGAGUGGCGAACGGGUGAGUAACGCGUGAGGAACCUGCCUCAAAGAGGGGGACAACAGUUGGAAACGACUGCUAAUACCGCAUAAGCCCACAGCUCGGCAUCGAGCAGAGGGAAAAGGAGCAAUCCGCUUUGAGAUGGACUCGCGUCCAAUUAGCUAGUUGGUGAGGUAACGGCCCACCAAGGCGACGAUUGGUAGCCGGACUGAGAGGUUGAACGGUCACAUUGGGACUGAGACACGGCCCAGACUCCUACGGGAGGCAGCAGUGGGGGAUAUUGCACAAUGGGGGAAACCCUGAUGCAGCGACGCCGCGUGGAGGAAGAAGGUUUUCGGAUUGUAAACUCCUGUCGUUAGGGACGAUAAUGACGGUACCUAACAAGAAAGCACCGGCUAACUACGUGCCAGCAGCCGCGGUAAAACGUAGGGUGCAAGCGUUGUCCGGAAUUACUGGGUGUAAAGGGAGCGCAGGCGGACCGGCAAGUUGGAAGUGAAAUCUAUGGGCUCAACCCAUAAAUUGCUUUCAAAACUGCUGGCCUUGAGUAGUGCAGAGGUAGGUGGAAUUCCCGGUGUAGCGGUGGAAUGCGUAGAUAUCGGGAGGAACACCAGUGGCGAAGGCGACCUACUGGGCACCAACUGACGCUGAGGCUCGAAAGCAUGGGUAGCAAAACAGGAUUAGAUACCCUGGUAGUCCAUGCCGUAAACGAUGAUUACUAGGUGUUGGAGGAUUGACCCCUUCAGUGCCGCAGUUAACACAAUAAGUAAUCCACCUGGGGAGUACGACCGCAAGGUUGAAACUCAAAGGAAUUGACGGGGGCCCGCACAAGCAGUGGAGUAUGUGGUUUAAUUCGAAGCAACGCGAAGAACCUUACCAGGUCUUGACAUCCGAUGCAUAGUGCAGAGAUGCAUGAAGUCCUUCGGGACAUCGAGACAGGUGGUGCAUGGUUGUCGUCAGCUCGUGUCGUGAGAUGUUGGGUUAAGUCCCACAACGAGCGCAACCCUUAUUGCCAGUUACUACGCAAGAGGACUCUGGCGAGACUGCCGUUGACAAAACGGAGGAAGGUGGGGAUGACGUCAAAUCAUCAUGCCCUUUAUGACCUGGGCUACACACGUACUACAAUGGCGUUUAACAAAGAGAAGCAAGACCGCGAGGUGGAGCAAAACUCAAAAACAACGUCUCAGUUCAGAUUGCAGGCUGCAACUCGCCUGCAUGAAGUCGGAAUUGCUAGUAAUCGCGGAUCAGCAUGCCGCGGUGAAUACGUUCCCGGGCCUUGCACACACCGCCCGUCA